CUCAGAUUGAACGCUGGCGGCAGGCCUAACACAUGCAAGUCGAGCGGAAACGAGUUAUCUGAACCUUCGGGGGACGAUAACGGCGUCGAGCGGCGGACGGGUGAGUAAUGCCUAGGAAAUUGCCCUGAUGUGGGGGAUAACCAUUGGAAACGAUGGCUAAUACCGCAUGAUGCCUACGGGCCAAAGAGGGGGACCUUCGGGCCUCUCGCGUCAGGAUAUGCCUAGGUGGGAUUAGCUAGUUGGUGAGGUAAGGGCUCACCAAGGCGACGAUCCCUAGCUGGUCUGAGAGGAUGAUCAGCCACACUGGAACUGAGACACGGUCCAGACUCCUACGGGAGGCAGCAGUGGGGAAUAUUGCACAAUGGGCGCAAGCCUGAUGCAGCCAUGCCGCGUGUGUGAAGAAGGCCUUCGGGUUGUAAAGCACUUUCAGUCGUGAGGAAGGUAGUGUAGUUAAUAGCUGCAUUAUUUGACGUUAGCGACAGAAGAAGCACCGGCUAACUCCGUGCCAGCAGCCGCGGUAAUACGGAGGGUGCGAGCGUUAAUCGGAAUUACUGGGCGUAAAGCGCAUGCAGGUGGUUUGUUAAGUCAGAUGUGAAAGCCCGGGGCUCAACCUCGGAAUUGCAUUUGAAACUGGCAGACUAGAGUACUGUAGAGGGGGGUAGAAUUUCAGGUGUAGCGGUGAAAUGCGUAGAGAUCUGAAGGAAUACCGGUGGCGAAGGCGGCCCCCUGGACAGAUACUGACACUCAGAUGCGAAAGCGUGGGGAGCAAACAGGAUUAGAUACCCUGGUAGUCCACGCCGUAAACGAUGUCUACUUGGAGGUUGUGGCCUUGAGCCGUGGCUUUCGGAGCUAACGCGUUAAGUAGACCGCCUGGGGAGUACGGUCGCAAGAUUAAAACUCAAAUGAAUUGACGGGGGCCCGCACAAGCGGUGGAGCAUGUGGUUUAAUUCGAUGCAACGCGAAGAACCUUACCUACUCUUGACAUCCAGAGAACUUUCCAGAGAUGGAUUGGUGCCUUCGGGAACUCUGAGACAGGUGCUGCAUGGCUGUCGUCAGCUCGUGUUGUGAAAUGUUGGGUUAAGUCCCGCAACGAGCGCAACCCUUAUCCUUGUUUGCCAGCGAGUAAUGUCGGGAACUCCAGGGAGACUGCCGGUGAUAAACCGGAGGAAGGUGGGGACGACGUCAAGUCAUCAUGGCCCUUACGAGUAGGGCUACACACGUGCUACAAUGGCGCAUACAGAGGGCAGCCAACUUGCGAAAGUGAGCGAAUCCCAAAAAGUGCGUCGUAG
Molecule: ribosomal RNA, 1289 nt
Filed under: Vibrio sp.
Lineage: Bacteria; Pseudomonadati; Pseudomonadota; Gammaproteobacteria; Vibrionales; Vibrionaceae
Description: bacterial SSU rRNA
Rfam family: Bacterial small subunit ribosomal RNA
Source: RNAcentral